Molecule: long non-coding RNA, 3140 nt
Organism: Corythoichthys intestinalis (scribbled pipefish)
Lineage: Eukaryota; Metazoa; Chordata; Actinopteri; Syngnathiformes; Syngnathidae
Exons: 3
Source: RefSeq, a predicted model, not a curated record
CAUCGCUGGCUUGUACUUCAAUUCACCAACACACGUUUGAAUUUAAAGACGGACACACCUCGUCGUCGUCGUCCAAACGGACUCUUUUCAGGGCCACUAUUUCGUGGGUUUCUCUGUUUUUAGCCUUGAAUACAGUCCCAUACGUGCCUGUGGAAUUAGUUUGGAAAUAAUCAUGGAUCGUAUUUAACUAGUUAUGUCGUCCACCGACAAAUAUAUACUAUCCACGAACACGUAUACACGGAUCUCCCGUUGUUCUUGACUAAAUGUGAAAUUCGAGCAAAGAAAAGCAGUUUUAAAAAAAAUAAUGUCAGCUAACAGGUAAGCUACAGCUAUGCGACAACCGCAUAUACACGUUAGCUUUACGUGGAAAAAAUGUGUCUAAAAACAAAAACUUACCCUCGCCGAUUUUUUCGAGUUUUUCAUAUUUCUGCAUGGUCACCCAGGUUUAGCCAAUUAGAUUGAACUAGUAACCAAGCCCCGAAUUUAGUGAAGUGGUUACGGUACGACAGCUAGCGUUAGCUAGACGCUAGCGACACUUGCUGCUGUGGAGAAUUCUGGACAACCGAACCUCUUGGCGCCCCCUACAUACCGAACCUUGUACUACAUCAGCUCUCUGUCUUCGGAUCAGGUCAGAAUAAAGUCCUCUUCGGCUCAGCAGUUCAGUAAAACUCACUUCCACGAUGCGCCCGUUGCUCAUGACGCAGAUGAGGUCGGCUGCUUGUAUGGUGCUCAGGCGGUGGGCAAUGAUUAACACUGUGCGCCCCUGAGUGGCCCGGUCCAGAGCCUCCUGCACCACACGCUCUGACUCUGCAUCCAAGGCGCUGGUGGCCUCGUCCAGCACCAAGAUGCUCGGGUUCUUGAUGAGGGCCCUUGCGAUGGCGACACGCUGUUUCUGGCCGCCUGAUAAAGUCACACCUCGCUCUCCUGUGAUGCAAAGGCGAUAUAUUUAGAAUGUUAAACACCAAACCUCCACAUAAUGCAAUUUAGUACACAAGCAUUAAUCAGGGAAUAACAUUAAAAUUAUUUUUAACACAACAAACAAAAACAAAACGUUAUUAAGGUCUCAUACCGAGCACAGUGUUGUAGCCGUCUGGGAAACUUUCAAUAAAGCGGUGAGCAUUAGCUUGUUUGGCAGCCUCAAAGACCUCGGCAUCAGUGGCUUCGGGUUUUCCAAAGCGGAUGUUCUCCAUGAUGGAUGCCCCAAAAAGAACAGGCUCCUACAGAGAACAUGGCAUACUGUAGUUCAAAUUCCAAACUUUUAUUUAGGGGAAAAACAGUACACAGCUAGUCCCCGGGUUAUGGACAAGUUCCAAUCUUACGCUGGCGACAUAACCCGAAUUAAACCCGUUUCGGAAUUAACCCUUUAAGUACCCCUAAAUUUCUAUCUAAAAACAAGUAUCAUACGUCAUAUUGAUAAAUUUAAGUAAAAAAUAAGAUACUGUGAGAUGCAAUAAGGUACUGUUUACAUGACUUAAAAAAUGAAAAUAAAAUUUUAAAAAAUGAAGACAAAAUGGCGGACGAGACUCCGGUGUCGUAAAGUUGAAAUCAUGUAAAUUGGGCCCGUCGUAACCUGGGGACUACCUGUACAGAUUUUUUUUUCUUUUACUUGAUUGAUAAAUCCAAUAACUUGUCCCCUAAGCCAGCAGAGAUCAAGAGUUCGAAUGUCAAGUCCGUCCAACAUUACUACGCCGCUUGUCGGGUCAUAGAAACGCUCCAUUAAGGAUGCUACUGUAGACUUUCCUAAAACAAAUAACAUGUUAUGUGCAUAAUUGUGGUAUAUACCAAUGUCUAAUGACAUCCUUCAUUAAGAAGUACCUCCUCCAGAUUCCCCAACAAUGGCUAUUGUUUUGCCAGGUGGCAGUGUUAAGUUGAACCUCUCCAAAAUCUGAUGACCUGGUCUUGUCGGAUAGCUAAAAAUUCACAAGAAGUACAGACUCAAUGGUAUGCUUUGGAGUUUCUAAACACUACGUUUCUAAAUAAAAUUUACAACCUAAAUGAAAUAUUAAGAAAAUCAACUCUUCCUGUCAGCGAAUGGUACGGUAUACGACCUCCGCCAGAAAGGGGGAUGGAAGGCUUCAGGGACAAAUAUUCAAAAACGCGAGCACCAGCGCUUGUGCCUCUCACCAUCUGGAGGGAAUAUGUGGAACAAUGAGCAGACCAAAGUCAACAAACUGCUUAUCCUGCACCAUACUAGAAUGUACUUACUUGCCCAAAAAGGAUAGAUAUACUGGCUAAGGACCUGACAAUUAUAAUAAUAAUAAAAAUAAAUAAAUAUUGAUUAUGUAUGGCAUAUUUAUUUUGAUCAGAUUUGCUGUUUACCUCUGUACAGUCUGCGAAGCAACCAAGAAAGACAUAAGAUCUCCAGGGGACAUUUCAUUGUUUGAAAUUAGAGUUCCACCUGCAAAAAUGGUUCCAAGAACAAUGCCUGCAACAAUACAUUAAAGGGUAUGUAACGGCAAAGGGGGUGUGAGACAUCAAUAGAACCGUUAUGUGCCAAGAUAACAAAUAUUGAUAAAGUUAACAAAAAAAAAUCAAUCACAUUAAUGAGCAAUUGUCGAAAAUAGAUCGAAAAUGACGAACAUUUCCGAAAGUGUUCCGGAAACAGCCGAAUGGGGCGGCGACGUCACAACAAGUGAUUGACAGUCGAGGCGGAGCCAGGUGCCAUUGUUUUUUAUCGACGAGAGUAGCAUUCGGGUUUGUUUGACCAAAACAUCACUAAAAUGGUUAAAAACUGCUGUACUAUGUGGUGUACAAAUAGCUAUUUAUCGGAAUAUAGUAUCCAUGAGUUCCCGAAUGCGAAAAAAAAAAAGCUGGACUACGCAGACAAUGGGUAAAGUUCGUCCGUGCAAAGAGGGCUAAUUUUCUAGACCCAGCCUCCGACACUGUUUUCUGUUAUUUUCCACCUAAAAGCUUCUCGAACUAUGGACUAGUGAAAUCCGGUUUUGCUGCAAGAUUGCUGCUCAAAGCAGAUGCGGUGCCCACCAUACACCAGCCACCUAAAUGUCCCGAGAUAUUCAAGAAAGAGGACGAUGACUGGCAAAGGAGGCUAAGGCAAAGCAAAGGAGGGGAGCAGCCAAGCUCGAAAUGACCAGAGUGAGUACUCUUUUAUAAUAAAAAAAUAUCAUGCAUCGGAUACAGGA